This 400-nucleotide ribosomal RNA is filed under the name uncultured Pseudonocardia sp. RNAcentral describes it as "partial 16S ribosomal RNA". The record is from RNAcentral. Lineage: Bacteria; Bacillati; Actinomycetota; Actinomycetes; Pseudonocardiales; Pseudonocardiaceae.
GGGAACGUAUUCACCGCAGCGUUGCUGAUCUGCGAUUACUAGCGACUCCGACUUCACGGGGUCGAGUUGCAGACCCCGAUCCGAACUGAGACUCACUUUAAGGGAUUCGCUCCACCUCGCGGUCUCGCAGCCCUCUGUAUGAGCCAUUGUAGCAUGUGUGAAGCCCUGGACAUAAGGGGCAUGAUGACUUGACGUCAUCCCCACCUUCCUCCGGUUUGGCACCGGCAGUCUCCCUAGAGUUCCCGGCUUUACCCGCUGGCAACUAAGGACAAGGGUUGCGCUCGUUGCGCCACUUAAGGCAACACCUCACGGCACGAGCUGACGACAGCCAUGCACCACCUGUGCAGGCUCCGUAGAGCGCCGGCUUUCACCGGCUUUGCCCUGCAUGUCAAGCCCAGGU